Molecule: ribosomal RNA, 484 nt
Filed under: uncultured bacterium
Lineage: Bacteria
Description: partial 16S ribosomal RNA
Rfam family: Bacterial small subunit ribosomal RNA
Source: RNAcentral
AUUGAACGCUGGCGGCAUGCUUUACACAUGCAAGUCGAACGGCAGCGCGGGCUUCGGCCUGGCGGCGAGUGGCGAACGGGUGAGUAAUACAUCGGAACGUGCCCAGUAGUGGGGGAUAGCUCGGCGAAAGCCGGAUUAAUACCGCAUACGACCUGAGGGUGAAAGCGGGGGAUCUUCGGACCUCGCGCUAUUGGAGGGGCCGAUGGCAGAUUAGCUAGUUGGUGGGGUAAAGGCCUACCAAGGCGACGAUCUGUAGCUGGUCUGAGAGGACGACCAGCCACACUGGGACUGAGACACGGCCCAGACUCCUACGGGAGGCAGCAGUGGGGAAUUUUGGACAAUGGGCGAAAGCCUGAUCCAGCAAUGCCGCGUGUGUGAUGAAGGCCUUCGGGUUGUAAAGCACUUUUGGCGGGAACGAAAAGGACUGUGCCAAUACCACGGUUCGAUGACGGUACCCGCAGAAUAAGCACCGGCUAACUACGUG